UACGUAGGGUGCAAGCGUUAUCCGGAAUUAUUGGGCGUAAAGAGCUCGUAGGCGGUUUGUCGCGUCUGCUGUGAAAACUGGAGGCUCAACCUCCAGCCUGCAGUGGGUACGGGCAGACUAGAGUGCGGUAGGGGAGAUUGGAAUUCCUGGUGUAGCGGUGGAAUGCGCAGAUAUCAGGAAGAACACCUAUGGCGAAGGCAGGUCUCUGGGCCACUACUGACGCUGAGAAGCGAAAGCAUGGGGAGCGAACAGG
RNAcentral lists this ribosomal RNA (253 nucleotides) under uncultured bacterium. Its description in RNAcentral is "partial 16S ribosomal RNA". It matches the Rfam family "Bacterial small subunit ribosomal RNA", at positions 524 to 776 of the family's 1533-position model. The record is from RNAcentral.